UACAGAGGGUGCUAGCGUUGUUCGGAAUCAUUGGGCGUAAAGGGCGCGUAGGCGGCGUGGUAAGUCACUUGUGAAAUCUCUGAGCUUAACUCAGAACGGCCAAGUGAUACUGUCGGACUAGAGUACAGAAGGGGCAACUGGAAUUCUUGGUGUAGCGGUGAAAUGCGUAGAUAUCAAGAGGAACACCUGCGGCGAAGGCGGGUUGCUGGGCUGACACUGACGCUGAGGCGCGAAAGCUAGGGGAGCGAACGGG
This 253-nucleotide ribosomal RNA is filed under the name uncultured bacterium. Its description in RNAcentral is "partial 16S ribosomal RNA". It matches the Rfam family "Bacterial small subunit ribosomal RNA", at positions 524 to 776 of the family's 1533-position model. The record is from RNAcentral.